This 849-nucleotide ribosomal RNA is filed under the name uncultured Candidatus Saccharibacteria bacterium. Its description in RNAcentral is "partial 16S ribosomal RNA". The record is from RNAcentral. Lineage: Bacteria; Candidatus Saccharimonadota.
UACCUUGUUACGACUUAACCCCAAUCAUCCCCCCACCUUAGGCCGACGAAUCGGACUUCGGGUGUUGGUGACUUUCAUGGUUUGACGGGCGGUGUGUACAAGACCCGGGAACGUAUUCACCGCAGUUUGCUGACCUGCGAUUACUAGCGAUUCCGACUUCAAAGAGGCGAGUUUCAGCCUCUUAUCCGAACUGAGAUUAGCUUUGAUGCGAUUUGCUCCACCUCGCGGCUUCGCUGCGCAUUGUACUAACCAUUGUAUCGUGUUUCUAGCCCAGGGUGUAAGGGAAAUACUGACCUGACAUCAUCCCCUCCUUCCUCCCCGUUACCGGGGCAGUCUGAUUAGAAAAAUACAACUAAUCACAAGGGUUGCGCUCGUUGAUGGACUUAACCAAACAUCUCACGACACGAGCUGACGACGGCCACGCAUCACCUGUCACUUGGCUCAAUAAAGCACUCUCUGCUUUCACAGAAAUUCCAAGGAUGUCAAACCCUGGUAAGGUUCUUCGUUUAUCAUCGAAUUAAAGUACACGAUCCACCGCUUGUGCGGGUUCCCGUCAAUUCCUUUAUGUUUUAGUCUUGCGACCGUACUCCACAGGCGGGAUACUUAACGCGUUAGCUUCGCUACUGAAGGGGUCGAUACCUCCAACAGCUAGUAUCCAUCGUUUUACGGCGUGAACUACCCGGGUAUCUAAUCCGGUUCGCUCCCCACGCUUUCUUGCCUCACUGUCAGAAAUGGCCAAUUAACCUGCCUACGCCAUUGGUGUUCCUUCUUACAUCUACGGAUUUCACUCCUACCCAAGAAAUUUCCAGUUACCCCCUACAUUUCUCGAGUUGGUGAGUUGAAUAAUAC